AAAUGUUACUUAUUUCUCGUAUUUUAAAUAAACAGAUAAAAAUUGUACGAGUUGAAGAAAGGAGCAAAAACGGACCAAAAAGGAGCAAAAACCGGGCAAAAAGGCCACACACGUGCAGCACAAGGCCACACGCAUGCAGCCCAACACUUCAUUCCCUCCACAAAGCCAUGGCGUCCAUCAUAAGGGACAUGGCGUGCGUCACCAAGGCUAAAUGCCUUUCUACCAACUUGCUGAGAAAGAAAGAAUCAUGUCCAUCCAUUUAUGAUCACACCAUAUGCUGUUCACCAAACAAAUGCAUGUGGCGUUUUCAGCAUGCAUAAAUUUCAAAUCUCGCCACAUUUGUUUAGUCCCACAUCGGCCAAAACAAAUUCUGCACCACUUGUAUUACACUAUAAAUAUGUGUCCUUUCUUACACUAGACACACAACUUUGUAACAAUUAACUUGUAAAACGAGAAUAUAACUCGUAUAGUUAGUUGGAAAGAAUUCUUAAGCCUUUGCGGGAAUUCUUUCUAAAGUUGAAUAUUAUUUUCUUUUGUGCCGACGUUAUUCCUUGGAGCUUUUAUCCAGAUUUUUAAUUUAUUUUCUUUCUUUUAUUUUUCUUUAUUGUUUUUUAUUUAUUUAUGCUUUAUUUAUU
This 635-nucleotide long non-coding RNA is filed under the name Trifolium pratense (red clover). Its description in RNAcentral is "long non-coding RNA (TPRA_LNC010013)". Lineage: Eukaryota; Viridiplantae; Streptophyta; Magnoliopsida; Fabales; Fabaceae. The record is from RNAcentral.